Molecule: ribosomal RNA, 402 nt
Filed under: uncultured Sphingomonadales bacterium
Lineage: Bacteria; Pseudomonadati; Pseudomonadota; Alphaproteobacteria; Sphingomonadales
Description: bacterial SSU rRNA
Rfam family: Bacterial small subunit ribosomal RNA
Source: RNAcentral
AGUGGGGAAUAUUGGACAAUGGGCGAAAGCCUGAUCCAGCAAUGCCGCGUGAGUGAUGAAGGCCUUAGGGUUGUAAAGCUCUUUUACCCGGGAUGAUAAUGACAGUACCGGGAGAAUAAGCCCCGGCUAACUCCGUGCCAGCAGCCGCGGUAAUACGGAGGGGGCUAGCGUUGUUCGGAAUUACUGGGCGUAAAGCGCGCGUAGGCGGCUUUGUAAGUCAGAGGUGAAAUCCCGGGGCUCAACCCCGGAACUGCCUUUGAAACUGCAUCGCUUGAAUCCGGGAGAGGUGAGUGGAAUUCCGAGUGUAGAGGUGAAAUUCGUAGAUAUUCGGAAGAACACCAGUGGCGAAGGCGGCUCACUGGACCGGUAUUGACGCUGAGGUGCGAAAGCGUGGGGAGCAAA